Molecule: ribosomal RNA, 2339 nt
Filed under: Protomima imitatrix
Lineage: Eukaryota; Metazoa; Arthropoda; Malacostraca; Amphipoda; Caprellidae
Description: SSU rRNA
Rfam family: Eukaryotic small subunit ribosomal RNA
Source: RNAcentral
UCUGGUUGAUCCUGCCAGUAGUCAUAUGCUUGUCUCAAAGAUUAAGCCAUGCAUGUUUAAGUCCAAGCUGUGUCUUGACACGGCGAGACCGCGGACGGCUCAUUAAAUCAGUCGUUGUCCAAAUGGGACAGAGCUAAGUACUUGGAUAACUGUGGUAAUUCCAGAGCUAAUACAUGCAACCGAUACCCCGAAGAUUCCUUGUGUCUCUGACGGGUGCUUUUAUUAGACCAAACUGCUGGGGCUUGACUCCUCUCAUGUGCGUGGCCUCGUGUCGCGGCUGGGAGGAUGGCCUGACCCACCUUGUGGUGACUCUGAAUAACCACUGAGACAAGCGCACGUACCUCCUCGUGAGGACGGCGCUACCACUUUCGAGUGUCUGCCUUAUCAGCUGUCAACCGCUCGCUAUACGCGACCGAUGGCUUUGACGGGUAACGGAGAAUCAGGGUUUGAUUCCGGAGAGGCAGCCUGAGAGACGGCUACCACGUCCAAGGACGGCAGCAGGCACGCAAAUUACCCAAUCCCAGCACAUCUUGGGGAGGUAGUGACGAAAGAUAACGAAGCGUGCGCCCUUUUCGGGUCUCGCUAUCGGAAUGAGCACUUUUCUAAAAACCCUGUUGAGAACCUACUGAAGGGCAAGUCUGGUGCCAGCAGCCGCGGUAAUUCCAGCUUCAGUAGCAUAUAUUAAAGUUGCUGCGGUUGAAAGGCUCGUAGUUGAAUGUCUGUUCCGAGCAGCGACUGGAGGACGUUGGAGUUGUGCUGUUGUUGCCUUCGUGGUUAUCACACACACGCUCCCGUCCGUUAUAUCCACCGCUCUCGUGUACAAAGGAAAGGAUGACAGUGGUGGCGCGGGCACCUCGUGCACGUGUCCUACUGCUGUUGUCAUGGUUGUCACCCUGAGUAAAUCAGAGUGCUCAAAGCAGUCGUAAAGGGCCUAGCCCUAAUAACAUACGGCGCGGGACACUGGCGUUUCCUCUUCGGAGGACGCUGUGCCUCCGUGUCCAUAGGACAGACUUGGUUAUGCAUGGUAUGUCGGAAUAUGACGCCGGGCGCUGGCUAAGGUGUCGUAGCAGUGGUAUAAGCCAGCCCCGGCGUAAUGAUUAAAAGGGCUUGUCGAGGGCAUUGGUAUUGCGGAGCGAGAGGUGAAAUUCUAUGACCUCCGCAAGACCUCCUGAAGCGAAAGCGUCUGCCAAGGAUGUUUUCAUUAAUCAUGAACGAAAGUUAGAGGAUCGAAGGCGAUCAGAUACCGCCCUAGUUCUAACCCUAAACGAUGCCAACCAUCAAUCCGCUGAGCACCCUUCUUGACGGGCUCGGCGGGCAGCUCCCAUCCUACGGGAAACCAGAGUCUCUGGGUUCCGGGGGGAGUCUGGUUGCAAAGCUGAAACUUAAAGGAAUUGACGGAAAGGCACCACCAGGCGUGGAGCCUGCGGCUUAAUUUGACUCAACACGGGUAAUCUCACCAGGCCAAGACUCUAGAAUGAUUGACAGAUUGAGAGCUCUUUCUCGAUUCAGUGGAUGGUGGUGCAUGGCCGUUCUUAGUUGGUGGAGUGAUCUGUCUGGUUAAUUCCGAUAACGAACGAGACUCUCCCCUGCUAACUAGUCGGUUGGAUCUUGACAUGCGAGUUCGCAGUAGCUGGUUUACUCCUCUCGGGAUUCAGCGGUGGAUGCUGGUGGGCUGUGUUACUUGGAUUGUGUGUGGGCGUAUGCGUUGUGGUCGCAAGGCUGCUCGCUGCGUCUGCCACGCCUGGUGCGCGGUCUAUUACUCCAUGCCAGCUACUCGUGCCGGGGGUUCUCUAGCCUGCACUCCAAGUCCGCCGGCCUUUGAUGGUCUUGAUGAUUUCUUCUUAGAGGGAUAAACGGCUCUGAAGCCGUCAGAGACUGAGAGCAAUAACAGGUCUGUGAUGCCCUUAGAUGCUCUGGGCCGCACGCGCGCUACAAUGCUGGGCACAGCAGGUGUUUCUUCCUGCUCCGAGAGGAGCGGGUAACCCUCUGAAAGCCCUUUAGCGUAUCCCUCUCUUCCUGCGCAUAUCUCUGCCUCUCACGGGGUGUGAGUAUGUGUGGGGGAGAGCAGCGUGCUUGGGCCUGGGGCUUGCAAUUAUUCCCCACAAACGAGGAAUGCCUAGUAGCGGUGGGUCACUGAGCCCGCCGUGACUGAGUCCCUGCCCUUUGUACACACCGCCCGUCGCUACUACCGAUUGGGUGUACCAGUGAGAGCCUUGGACUGGCGGAGCCGCCCUCUCAAAGGGGCGGUAUCACGACUGAAAGAGGUCCGAACUGGUGCACUUAGAGGAAGUAAAAGUCGUAACAAGGUUUCCGUAGGUGAACCUGCGGAAGGAUCAUUA